Molecule: ribosomal RNA, 253 nt
Filed under: uncultured bacterium
Lineage: Bacteria
Description: partial 16S ribosomal RNA
Rfam family: Bacterial small subunit ribosomal RNA
Source: RNAcentral
UACGAAGGGGGCUAGCGUUGCUCGGAAUCACUGGGCGUAAAGCGCACGUAGGCGGCUUCUUAAGUCAGGGGUGAAAUCCUGGAGCUCAACUCCAGAACUGCCUUUGAUACUGAGAAGCUUGAGUCCGGGAGAGGUGAGUGGAACUGCGAGUGUAGAGGUGAAAUUCGUGGAUAUUCGCAAGAACACCAGUGGCGAAGGCGGCUCACUGGCCCGGUACUGACGCUGAGGUGCGAAAGCGUGGGGAGCAAACAGG